CAGCCGCGGUAAUACGUAGGGCGCAAGCGUUGUCCGGAAUUAUUGGGCGUAAAGAGCUCGUAGGCGGCCAGUUGCGUCUGCUGUGAAAUCCCGGGGCUCAACCCCGGGCGUGCAGUGGAUACGGGCUGGCUGGAGGCAGGCAGGGGAGAACGGAAUUCCCGGUGUAGCGGUGAAAUGCGCAGAUAUCGGGAGGAACACCGGUGGCGAAGGCGGUUCUCUGGGCCUGUACUGACGCUGAGGAGCGAAAGCGUGGGGAGCGAACAGGAUUAGAUACCCUGGUAGUCCACGCCGUAAACGUUGGGCGCUAGGUGUGGGUCCCUUCCACGGGGUCUGUGCCGCAGCUAACGCAUUAA
RNAcentral lists this ribosomal RNA (353 nucleotides) under uncultured soil bacterium. RNAcentral's name for it is "bacterial SSU rRNA". It matches the Rfam family "Bacterial small subunit ribosomal RNA", at positions 512 to 863 of the family's 1533-position model. The record is from RNAcentral.